RNAcentral lists this ribosomal RNA (253 nucleotides) under uncultured bacterium. RNAcentral's name for it is "partial 16S ribosomal RNA". It matches the Rfam family "Bacterial small subunit ribosomal RNA", at positions 524 to 776 of the family's 1533-position model. The record is from RNAcentral.
UACGUAGGGUGCAAGCGUUAAUCGGAAUUACUGGGCGUAAAGCGUGCGCAGGCGGGUCUAUAAGGAAGAUGGGAAAUCCCCGGGCUCAACCUGGGAACUGCAUUUGUGACUGUAGAGCUGGAGUACGGUAGAGGGGGAUGGAAUUCCGCGUGUAGCAGUGAAAUGCGUAGAUAUGCGGAGGAACACCGAUGGCGAAGGCAAUCCCCUGGACCUGUACUGACGCUCAUGCACGAAAGCGUGGGGAGCAAACAGG